GUCACAAACUGCAAAGGGUCCAGGCCGGUUUCCAUGCUCACUGGAAGCAGAGAGCGCAUAGGCCCAGCCACAGGAAAUCUCUACAACCGAGCUGGCUUAGCCGGCUGGGGUUUGGCCCACGGGGUCAGGCCUCUGGCACUAUUAUGGGAUGGCGAGGCUUUAUGCGACGGGGUAGGCGGGGGGGGGAGAGGAAGCCAAGGAAAUAUUAUGGGCUGGAACGGCAGCAAGGGCUUAUGUGACCAGAGAUGGUGCGGCGGUGCGGUAUCCGUGAGGGUGGGGUGGGGGGUGUUGUUGAGGAGGCGAAAUGAUGGGUGGUGGAGAGAGAGAGAGAGAGAGCGCGCUGUGGGAUGUGUGGCGACUGCUGCUGCAGCUGGCGAGAGUAUUAUGGGAUGGUGCCCCACGAGAGGCCAGGACUAUUAUGGGAUGGGGAGAGGAUGGCAAGGCGAGUGGAGGGGGGGUGGGGUGCUGCAAAUCUGAGAGUGUGCUCAGGGGUGGGGAGUAUUAUGGGAUGCCUCGGCAUUUCAGCCAGCCAGCCAGCACGCCACACACGUGACUGGGGUGGGUGGGUGGUGGGGAGAACAUUAUGGGAUGCGGGUCGGCCCCUCUCUCUCUCUCAGUUACUACGGGGUGUUGUGGACAAGAGGGAGGAGAGCGGGUUAUUAUGGGAUGUCAGCGCAGACGGUGUGUCUGGCUGGGUCUGUUGGGACCGUGUCCAAGUGGCUGCCCUGCCUUCUUCCUCUCUCUCUCUCUCUCUCUCUCUCUCUCUCUCUCUCUUUCUCUCUAAUAUGCUCCCCUUUUCCUUCCUCACCUCCUUUUUUUGCCACCACCAGCCCAGCCUCCCCCCCACCGCUCUGUAAUCUCCUCUGUUUCAACUGUCAGAACCUGUAAAGCAGGCAUGCUAUUAUGGGAUGGCUACUCCGUAGGUGGGGGUGGGGAUGGUUGCUAGGGAAUGUCUCCUGUCGGAGAUAUUAUGGGAUGUGACCAGUUUUGCAGGGUGGGGCUGCCCAGGAGGUUUAUUCAGGGGCCUUCACAGCCGUGUGAAGAAAGAAGGCAGAUUGCAUGGAAACCCUGUGAAUUAAUGAUAUAUGUGCACACACACACAUCUAUCUAUCUAUCACACAGAGUCAGGCGGCAAGAGGUGCUGGCAAUGCCACCCUUUCCUCCCCCAGCCCUGCUCUCAGCUUUUAUGUACAAAAGAAACAAAUAAGCAUGGGGCGGGGGGACUUCUUGCAAUUAGAGGCACUUAUUUAAAGGCACGGGAACAGGGGUGGUAAAAUUAUUGAAUUAUUCCUUCCCGCAGUUCAGAAUCGUGCCAUUUCCAGUGUGGUUUGGUGGUUAUGGCGUCAAGUGACUGGGGAGCGCCAGGCCCCAAUCCUCCCCACACAGCCAUGAAGGUCACGGGAUGACCUUGGACCACCAACUUUUCCCUCAUAUUCUCUCUCUGCUUUAUCUGCCUCAUGGGAUUGUUGUGAUGAUAAAAAGGGUUGUGGGAAGAGGGGACCCCCAUAUAUGCUGCCUUGGUGGGGAGAGGCGAAAGUGAGCUGUAGAAAUAAGCAAGACCCUGUUGAAAAACGUCUGUACACGGAGCAGGUUUCAGACUUCUUCGGCUUUUGUCAGUAAUGUUCAAGGAUAAAAAAAUAAUAAUGAAAACUUUUUAAAAUGGUUAGCCAGUUCCGGUGCUUCAGUGAAGGUUGAGGCAAGGUCAUGUUCAGGAGGACGGUUCCAGAAAACCACAUCCGGACCCCACAGCGGAGCUCAGAAAUGCCUACGUUCAAGUCAGAAUGAAUUUGGAUUUGCCAAAAAAAUAAUCUCCACUUCCUGACUAACGCUUUCAAGCAAAACAUACUCUCCUGGGGCUUUUCCACACACACACA
Molecule: non-coding RNA, 1874 nt
Organism: Podarcis lilfordi (Lilford's wall lizard)
Lineage: Eukaryota; Metazoa; Chordata; Lepidosauria; Squamata; Lacertidae
Source: the annotation of a GenBank genome assembly